RNAcentral lists this ribosomal RNA (584 nucleotides) under uncultured Lachnospiraceae bacterium. RNAcentral describes it as "bacterial SSU rRNA". It matches the Rfam family "Bacterial small subunit ribosomal RNA", at positions 108 to 710 of the family's 1533-position model. The record is from RNAcentral. Lineage: Bacteria; Bacillati; Bacillota; Clostridia; Lachnospirales; Lachnospiraceae.
GAGUAACGCGUGGGUAACCUGCCUUGUACUGGGGGACAACAGUUGGAAACGACUGCUAAUACCGCAUAAGCGCACAGCUUCGCAUGAAGCAGUGUGAAAAACUCCGGUGGUACAAGAUGGACCCGCGUCUGAUUAGCUGGUUGGUGAGGUAACGGCCCACCAAGGCGACGAUCAGUAGCCGGCCUGAGAGGGUGAACGGCCACAUUGGGACUGAGACACGGCCCAAACUCCUACGGGAGGCAGCAGUGGGGAAUAUUGCACAAUGGGGGAAACCCUGAUGCAGCAACGCCGCGUGAGUGAAGAAGUAUUUCGGUAUGUAAAGCUCUAUCAGCAGGAAAGAAAAUGACGGUACCUGACUAAGAAGCCCCGGCUAACUACGUGCCAGCAGCCGCGGUAAUACGUAGGGGGCAAGCGUUAUCCGGAUUUACUGGGUGUAAAGGGAGCGUAGACGGUUUUGCAAGUCUGGAGUGAAAACCCGGGGCUUAACCCCGGGACUGCUUUGGAAACUGUAGGACUAGAGUGCAGGAGAGGUAAGUGGAAUUCCUAGUGUAGCGGUGAAAUGCGUAGAUAUUAGGAGGAACACC